GGAGAUAACUCUGUAAAAUCAGCUAAACGUUUUAGUUACGUUGCGUUGUUAAGGGAAUAUUAAGCUUCUCAAUGAUCAAAACUAGUGUUUGUCAAACUGCUAUAUAACCAGUGUAAUUUUUAUCAUGAUAAAUUGGUUGGUUCAAAUUUUUUGAAAUUUUGAAAUUUUUGUCAAAGGGUCAAAGUAAAUACUUUGCCAAAAUUUUAUGAAAAUUAAACCAG
RNAcentral lists this long non-coding RNA (221 nucleotides) under Mytilus galloprovincialis (Mediterranean mussel). Lineage: Eukaryota; Metazoa; Mollusca; Bivalvia; Mytilida; Mytilidae. The record is from RNAcentral.